GAGUUUGAUCGUGGCUCAGAUUGAACGCUGGCGGCAUGCCUUACACAUGCAAGUCGAACGGCAGCAUGAUCUAGCUUGCUAGAUUGAUGGCGAGUGGCGAACGGGUGAGUAAUACAUCGGAACGUGCCCUGUAGUGGGGGAUAACUAGUCGAAAGAUUAGCUAAUACCGCAUACGACCUGAGGGUGAAAGUGGGGGACCGCAAGGCCUCAUGCUAUAGGAGCGGCCGAUGUCUGAUUAGCUAGUUGGUGGGUAAAGGCCCACCAAGGCGACGAUCAGUAGCUGGUCUGAGAGGACGAUCAGCCACACUGGGACUGAGACACGGCCCAGACUCCUACGGGAGGCAGCAGUGGGGAAUUUUGGACAAUGGGCGAAAGCCUGAUCCAGCAAUGCCGCGUGUGUGAAGAAGGCCUCGGUGUAA
RNAcentral lists this ribosomal RNA (419 nucleotides) under uncultured microorganism. RNAcentral's name for it is "bacterial SSU rRNA". It matches the Rfam family "Bacterial small subunit ribosomal RNA", at positions 9 to 428 of the family's 1533-position model. The record is from RNAcentral.